RNAcentral lists this unclassified non-coding RNA (400 nucleotides) under soil metagenome. RNAcentral's name for it is "partial contains 5.8S ribosomal RNA, internal transcribed spacer 2, and large subunit ribosomal RNA". The stretch from base 1 to 122 matches the Rfam family "5.8S ribosomal RNA", at positions 35 to 154 of the family's 154-position model. The record is from RNAcentral.
GAUGAAGAACGUAGCGAAAUGCGAUACUUGGUGUGAAUUGCAGAAUCCCGUGAACCAUCGAGUCUUUGAACGCAAGUUGCGCCUCAAGCCAUUAGGUUGAGGGCACGUCUGCCUGGGCGUCACAUAUCGUUGCCUGAUGCCAGUUUCCUCGUGAUGGGUGACUGUGCAGGGCGAAUGAUGGCUUCCCGUGAGCAUUGUUGCCUCAUGGUUGGUUGAAAAUUGAGUCCUUGGUAGGGAGCGCCGUGAUAGAUGGUGGUUGAGUGACGAACGAGACCCAAUCAUGUGAGACCCCUACCGAAUUUGGCCUUCAUGACCCACAUGCGUCUUUGGAACGCUCAUGACGAGACCUCAGGUCAGGCGGGGCUACCCGCUGAGUUUAAGCAUAUCAAUAAGCGGGGGA